GUAGACCUUAGGCGAGAGAAGGCAUGUACUUUCCCUAAGAAGCGGGAGGAGACAAAUAUAGGGCAGUGGAAUGAGAAGAACCUCGCGGGAUGGGAGGCCGCGGAGGGAAGCGCCGUCUUUGGUUACCUGGGGAGCGGGAGCAGCUGCGGAUCCCUUAUGAAGUGCCCGGAUGAAGCUCCAGCGCUCACGCGCUUUCCGCAUUGAGUGCAGCGCCAUCUUGAGAAGGGCGGAGCCGCCUUGUUCGGAAUGACGUCUGUUCAGAGAGCCAAUCCCAGUCUCGCGACUCCUGCUUGCUGGGCGCGGCCUGGGCCUCCAGGCUGCGCAGCGCAGCCGCUAUCGGGGGAGUGCAGUUUUUGCCAAGUAGGGGAACAGGAGAGUCAGCCUGAGAAGGAAAUGUGAUGAUGGAAACAGAGGUUGGAAGAUGGAAGGGGACCCAGAGCCAAGGAAUACAGGUAGAAAAGAAAAGCCUGGAUUCUCCCCUAAAGCCUCCAGAUGGAACACAGCCCUGCCUCCAACUUGAUUUGAGAACUUCUUACCCCAAGAACCUUGCCAACACGUCUUAUCUUCUGUGUUUUUGAUAAUAGCCAUUCUAAUAGGCAUGAAGUGAUAUCUCAUUGUGGUUUUAAUUUGCAUUUCCCUGAUGAUUUGUGAUGUUGAAUAUUUUUUUCAUACACCUACUAGCCAUUUGUAUGUCUUCAUUUGAGAAAUUCUAUUCAAGUCUUCUGACCAGCUUUUAAUUAGGUUAUUUGCUUUCUUACUAUUGAGUUGUUUCAAUUCCUUAUAUAUUUUGGGUAUUAACCCCUUGUCAGAUGUUUGGUUUGCAAAUAUAUUUUCUCAUUCUGCAGGUUGUCUCUUUACUCUGUUCAUUGUUUUUGUAGUUAUGCAGAAGCUUUGUAGUUUGAUGUAAUCCCAGUUGUCCAAUUUUGCUUUUGUUGCUUGUCAUUUGGGGAUAUACCCAUAACUGAUCUUAGCCAAAAGCCUGAGAAGUGAUUUGGGUCAUAUUAAAAAAUAUCAUUGCCAA
RNAcentral lists this non-coding RNA (1021 nucleotides) under Pongo abelii (Sumatran orangutan). The record is from RNAcentral. Lineage: Eukaryota; Metazoa; Chordata; Mammalia; Primates; Hominidae.